Long non-coding RNA from Alosa sapidissima (American shad), 88 nucleotides. RefSeq lists it as uncharacterized. Lineage: Eukaryota; Metazoa; Chordata; Actinopteri; Clupeiformes; Clupeidae. The record is from RefSeq and is a predicted model, not a curated record. The transcript has 3 exons.
GCGAUAGCAUGGACAGUUAGCUUGUUUACAGUUGAUUCCAUUUGUUGGGAAGUCUGCUUCCAGGCUUAACCAUUAUAUAUACUCUUUU